AGAGUUUGAUCCUGGCUCAGGAUGAACGCUAGCUACAGGCUUAACACAUGCAAGUCGAGGGGAAACGACAUCGAAAGCUUGCUUUUGAUGGGCGUCGACCGGCGCACGGGUGAGUAACGCGUAUCCAACCUGCCCACCACUUGGGAAUAACCUUGCGAAAGUAAGACUAAUACCCAAUGACGUCUCUAGAAGACAUCUGAAGGAGAUUAAAGAUUUAUCGGUGAUGGAUGGGGAUGCGUCUGAUUAGCUUGUUGGCGGGGUAACGGCCCACCAAGGCGACGAUCAGUAGGGGUUCUGAGAGGAAGGUCCCCCACAUUGGAACUGAGACACGGUCCAAACUCCUACGGGAGGCAGCAGUGAGGAAUAUUGGUCAAUGGACGAGAGUCUGAACCAGCCAAGUAGCGUGCAGGAUGACGGCCCUAUGGGUUGUAAACUGCUUUUAUAAGGGAAUAAAGUGAGCCUCGUGAGGCUUUUUGCAUGUACCUUAUGAAUAAGGACCGGCUAAUUCCGUGCCAGCAGCCGCGGUAAUACGGAAGGUCCGGGCGUUAUCCGGAUUUAUUGGGUUUAAAGGGAGCGUAGGCCGGAGAUUAAGCGUGUUGUGAAAUGUAGACGCUCAACGUCUGCACUGCAGCGCGAACUGGUUUCCUUGAGUACGCACAAAGUGGGCGGAAUUCGUGGUGUAGCGGUGAAAUGCUUAGAUAUCACGAAGAACUCCGAUUGCGAAGGCAGCUCACUGGAGCGCAACUGACGCUGAAGCUCGAAAGUGCGGGUAUCGAACAGGAUUAGAUACCCUGGUAGUCCGCACGGUAAACGAUGGAUGCCCGCUGUUGGUCUGAAUAGGUCAGCGGCCAAGCGAAAGCAUUAAGCAUCCCACCUGGGGAGUACGCCGGCAACGGUGAAA
Molecule: ribosomal RNA, 901 nt
Filed under: uncultured bacterium
Lineage: Bacteria
Description: bacterial SSU rRNA
Rfam family: Bacterial small subunit ribosomal RNA
Source: RNAcentral